GCCCCGGCGCAGUGAGGGGCGGGGGGGAGGAGCCGCGCUGCGCAAAGUCUCGCCCUCCGCCCUGCCGGCCGCUGAGUCACACUACGCCUGCGCAGCAGGGUCGCUGCUGGAAGGUGCGGGGCAAGAUGGUGGUGGAGCAGCAGGGCACCUGUGCCCUGAAGCCAGCGUGGCACCUCCCCCCGCAACAGCAGCUGCCACUGCAGCCUGCCAAGAAAGCCAAGCCACAGGUCAGCGACGGCUUCACCGUCAAGGCCAUGAUGAAGAACAGCGUGGUGACUCCCAAGGCCUGGGCAGGGCCAGUGGUGACCAGAGAGACAGGGGACAGGAGAUGUACAAUAGAUCAUGCUUCAGAGCCUCAGGUGAAUAAUGUUGUAAUGGUACUAAGUGUGUAUUUUUAGUUAACGUAGCUAACCCAAUGUAUUUUUAGCAAACCCCUAGGAAAAGGUGAGGGAAAGAAACAGUUGAACAUCACUAAAUAACCAUGAAGAUAAUGAAAAAUACACUUUUUAAUAAUAACUUCCAAAAAUAACUCUCACAAUACUAGUGAAUAGUACAUUGAAAAGGAUGUAAUUCUCCAGCUGAUAGCUUUUAGGAUGAAGAUGACCCAGGGGUGGAUCCAGUAAUCUUUACUUUCAUUAAUAGUCCCUAGAGAAGCACUUCCACUGAAGAUCCUGGGAUGGCUGCCAUCAGUAGAGAGUCCAGAAUUGGGCCCUGUGUUUGUAAUGAAGCUUUUUUGCAAUAAUUGUGUUAAAUGAUUGCUCCCAUCAAAUUUAAUAAAUAAAAAUCAAAGCUUCUGCUAGUGCAGAAUGCAGCUGCUCAGUUUGCAAGUGGAACGAGCUAUUACAAAUACACAACAUCUGUGCUCAAAUCUCUGGACUGGCUUUUUGUUUGCUUGUGGGUACAGUUCAAGGUGUAUAUAACAGUAUUCUUUUUUUCUCUUUUUUAAUUUAUAUUUGUUUUCCUGGGGAAAAGAAAAAGAAAUGCUAGAGACUUCUCUCACAGGUCUCUGGAAUUCACUAUAUACAGCAAAUAUUGACAAUUAAGCAUAAGCAA
Alligator sinensis (Chinese alligator) is the source of this 1053-nucleotide long non-coding RNA. RefSeq lists it as uncharacterized. The record is from RefSeq and is a predicted model, not a curated record. Lineage: Eukaryota; Metazoa; Chordata; Crocodylia; Alligatoridae. The transcript has 3 exons.